RNAcentral lists this ribosomal RNA (464 nucleotides) under Pseudomonas sp. C22. RNAcentral describes it as "bacterial SSU rRNA". It matches the Rfam family "Bacterial small subunit ribosomal RNA", at positions 32 to 489 of the family's 1533-position model. Lineage: Bacteria; Pseudomonadati; Pseudomonadota; Gammaproteobacteria; Pseudomonadales; Pseudomonadaceae. The record is from RNAcentral.
GGAUGACGCUGGCGGCAGGCCUAACACAUGCCUGUCGAGCGGUAGAGAGAAGCUUGCUUCUCUUGAGAGCGGCGGACGGGUGAGUAAUGCCUAGGAAUCUGCCUGGUAGUGGGGGAUAACGUUCGGAAACGAACGCUAAUACCGCAUACGUCCUACGGGAGAAAGCAGGGGACCUUCGGGCCUUGCGCUAUCAGAUGAGCCUAGGUCGGAUUAGCUAGUUGGUGAGGUAAUGGCUCACCAAGGCGACGAUCCGUAACUGGUCUGAGAGGAUGAUCAGUCACACUGGAACUGAGACACGGUCCAGACUCCUACGGGAGGCAGCAGUGGGGAAUAUUGGACAAUGGGCGAAAGCCUGAUCCAGCCAUGCCGCGUGUGUGAAGAAGGUCUUCGGAUUGUAAAGCACUUUAGUUGGGAGGAAGGCAGGUACUUAAUCCAUAAUUGUUUUGACCUUACCGACAAAAUAA